ACGUAGGGUGCGAGCGUUAUCCGGAUUUACUGGGCGUAAAGGGUUGCGUAGGCGGUUUAUUUAGUCAACACUGAAAUAUCUAUGCUUAACAUAGAACCCGGUUUUGAUACUAGUAAACUUCGAGUCUUGGAGAGGUAACUGGAACUUGCAGUGGAGCGGUGAAAUGCGUUGAGAUUGCAAGGAACACCAAAGGCGUAGGCAGGUUACUGGCCGAGAUCUGACGCUGAUGCACGAAAGCCAGGGGAGCAAACGGGA
This 255-nucleotide ribosomal RNA is filed under the name uncultured prokaryote. RNAcentral's name for it is "partial 16S ribosomal RNA". It matches the Rfam family "Bacterial small subunit ribosomal RNA", at positions 525 to 777 of the family's 1533-position model. The record is from RNAcentral.